RNAcentral lists this transfer RNA (70 nucleotides) under Dipodomys ordii (Ord's kangaroo rat). It matches the Rfam family "tRNA". Rfam says of the family: Transfer RNA (tRNA) molecules are approximately 80 nucleotides in length. Lineage: Eukaryota; Metazoa; Chordata; Mammalia; Rodentia; Heteromyidae. The record is from Rfam by way of RNAcentral.
GGGAAUGUGGCUUAGUGGUAGAGUGCUUGCCUAGCACGCAUGAAGCCCUGGGUUCAAUUCCUCAGUACCA